UUUUUUUUUUUUUUUUUAAACUUGCAGCAGGAGAACUGUGUCAGUUUCUGGGUCUAGAGAUGGAUAAACACAGAUUUAGAGAAAGGUGGAAACUUUCUUAUUCCCCGGUUAUAGAACCAGCACCAGGGGGAAUGUCUUACCUCAUCCUAAAACCUUGCAUUCCCUGUCCUUGCUUUCUGGCUGGCCCUCAGCAGUGCCUGCGCACGACCCCGAGGAAUACACGUGGUUCCCCAGACACAUCGCCUCCUCCUCCACAGACCUCACGCUGGAGGAAGCACAGGGGUCGACUUUGCAGCUCGGGAAACUCCUCUCUCAGUCUGCAGACCACCGGCCGUGCUCCAGGCCCCUGACACGUAUAAUCUGGAAUAUUCCAAGAACUUGUGUUCUUAGUGCUCUGUCCUCAUUGUCCAAAGCCCCAGUCGUAUAGUGUAUAUCAUGAGCCCUGAUGUCUUCUAUAUGUUAGAAGUUCAUUCAUAAUAUUUAGUGCCAGUUUCUUGAGUUCUUUCGAUCUGUAAGGAUCUAUCCCUUAUUUUCUAGGAUUUUACCUUUGUUGUGUUAUCCUAACUUUCCUAUUUUGAACUGGACUUGAGUCAGGUAUCUGUGUAUGUGUGUGCUUCGGAUUUGUGUAUCUGUCUGUAUGCUUGUGUGUGUGUCCGAGUGUCUUUGUGUAUCUGUGCCUCUGUGUGUCUCUGUGUCUGGGCACAUUUUUGUCUGUGUGUCUGUGGUCUGUGGAGGGGGUGCUGUGUGGGUCUGUGUGUGUCUGUGGCAGGGCGUGUGGAACCUUCACCUGGGGAUAAGACCAGAGACUGUAAAACACCCAGAGGUGUCAUGGAGAUUUUCUGCAUGAUUGUCUGGUGAACUGAAAUGUCACCGAGUUCCCCAAACAGAUAUUCUGCUGCAGUCAAACACACAAAGAAACGCUCAGCAAGGUACUAUUUUCUCAGUCCCAAGAAGGGCUAACAUCUCCCAGUGGGGUAAAUGGUAAUGGAUCAGAUGACAAUAUAGCACCGUGGUUUUCUUAAGAGAAAAAUGCUCUGGAAAAUUAACACUUGGGGACAAUAUAAAGACGAACACCCUUGAUCCUUGGCCCUGGAAGGGCAGAGGGACUCUGCACAUACACGGGCUGCUCUGAAUCUCAAAUAAUUGAUUUCUCAGAUGUGGGAAUAUUGCCGCCACCAGCAGGCUCCAGGAGAGCAGGGCUAAUUGCACGGUGUCAGAUGGUGGGUGUGUCAGUGGAAAAAUUUUAAGGCGCACAUCAGCACGGCUUUCUGCAGCAUAAUAGGCACUGAUUAGCCAGCCCCGUGGUGGGCAAUGGUGUGCUUCGCUGCCGACUGUGAGCUGUGAGCACCGAGGCCAACCUGAGCUGCAGAAAAACACAAAGGGGCCUGAGGAGCCGGUGGCUGCACACCCGGUACUUUCCCUGGGGGGUUAGCUCUUGCUCUGAAAAGAGGUGGGUGGGGAGCAGGAGAGCCCCUCCGGCAGGCUGCUUGGAUGCCUAAUGGUCACAUUCUGGUGUGAAAGGAGGUUGGUUUCUGCAUUCACUGGAUUCCUAGAGGCGGGUCAUUCUACACCUGGGUGGGGUCCUCUGAGACCACCCAGACAGCCUCAGUUCCCAGGCAGGACUGUCCCUCAGCUACCCAGUGUCCUUGAUAUACCUGGAGAGUGGGGCUGCCCUGUGGUUGUUAUUGCUUCCAUCCCAGACAAGGGGUCCUGACUUCCCCGUAUUAUAAUCGUUCUGUGUGGCGUGGGACCUGUGUGUGACAGUGGACGGGGGGCUGACUGCUUUCCUUACCUGUCUUGGACAUCAUGUCACCUGGUCAUGCAUACUGCUUCCUAUGUCGGCUUUUUUUUUUUUUCUUUCCCCUUUCCUGAUUCAUUCCAUGCUUUCCUUUUCCAGAGCUUUUGCUGCUAAACCAGGCUGUCAUGCCCAUAGGCCAGCAUUUCAGGCUCCAGAAAUUAGCAAAGCCAGGACCUGAAACUGUCAGAACAGGAGUUCCCGUUGUGGCUCAGCAUCCAUGAGGAUGAAGGUUUGAUCCCUGGCCUCACUCAGUGGGUUAAGGAUUGGGUGUUGCCAUGAUUGGUGGUGUAACUCGCAGACGCAGCUUGGAUCUGGUGUGGCUGUGGCUGUAGUGUUGGCCAGCGGCUACAGCUCUGAUUUGACUCCUAGCCUAGGAACUUCCAUAUGCCCUGGGUGCGGCCCUGAAAAGUCAAAAAACAAAACCAAAAACAGACAGCCAGGAGUUCCCGUCGUGGCUCAGUGGCUAAUGAAUCCAACUAGGAACCAUGAGGUUGCAGGUUUGAUCCCUGGCCUUGCUCAGUGGGUUAAGGAUCUGGCAUUGCCAUGAGCUGUGGUGUAGGUUGCAGACGCGGCUUGGAUCCCACAUCAAUGUGGCUGUGGUGUAGGCUGGCAGCAACAGCUCCAGUUAGACCCCUAGCCUGGGAACCUCCAUAUGCCGUGGGAGUGGCCCUAGAAAAGGCAAAAAGACAACCAAACCAAACCAAAGCAAAACAACUGUCAGAACAGAGCUCCUCAAACAACAGGUGUCGGAUCUGCUCCCUCUGCCUGUCAGGCUCAUCGUGCCUGUGCCCUCUGCCUCCACGGCCCCAUUUCCCCUGCUCCCCAAACAGAACUUCUCAUGCUGAUAGGCCAGGUCAUUUAUCUCUCGUGUACGCAUGCUGCGAUUUCUAUUUUGUGUCUCUGUUCCUGCUUCUGUAGCCCAUUCUUGGAAUCCCGGCUUCUGUACUCCCUUCAGUGAAGGCUACGACAAACGAUUUCUCUCCCUUAAAACUGGCUUUCCUGAAAAGUCAUCUGAUUGGCUUACAGGCUACGACUACUGUGGAGUCCCUCUGCCCCCAGGGAUUGAGGACAAAAGCCCCCACCCUGAUUAACCCCCUGUAAAAACCCGGGCUCUCCUACGUAACCUAAACCUCAGCUUUCUCAUCCAUGAUACAGAAGAAACGUCAGUGUUUUUGAGAGGAUUUAAUGGGGUAAUUUACAUAAAAUGAAGGACCCAGGGUGGGUUAUCAAGAAACAGUACUAAUUACUAUUAUUGUUUUUAUGGUUUAACCAGUCUUCUUAUCCAAGUUUUUAUAGCACUUCCAUACACAGGUUCUCCUUUAUUAUUGGUCAUUAGGGAAAUAUUCACAGAUAGAGAUUCACUGAAGCCUUAAGAGUCCAAUACAGGAUCACAUCCUUUGACUGGUCCCCACUUACCUCCCCCAAAUCACAUAGUGUUUUACUAUACUUGGGGUCAACCUUCAAUAAAUAGUAGAAAGAGUGUCUGAUAUUAAAAAUCCAGAAAUGGAAAAUCAUACUCUAUUUUUGUUGCUUAUUCAAGAAUUUUUUCCAUUCAUGCUCUUUUAUCUUGUCUUCUUUUUCUCAGAUCCUUAAAAAAACUGGGGACAGAGAUGAUUUGAGUAAAUUUAAAAAUUCAAAUAUUCAAUAUGUAAGCCAGUCUUCUUUUUUUUUGGGGGGGGGUCUUUUUGUGUUUUUAGGGCUGCACCCAGGCUAGGGGUCUAAUCGGAGCUGUAGCCACCAGCCUACACCAAGGCCACAGCAACACCGGAUCCAAGUGCACCUGCGACCUACACCACAGCUCACAGCAACACCAGAUCCUUGACCCGCUGAGCGAGGCCAGGGAUCGAACCCAUGACCUCAUGGUGCCUAGUCAGAUUAGUUUCUGCUGCACCACGAUGGGAACUCCACCAGUCUUCUUUUUUCCUUGAAUCCUUCCACAUUUUUAAUCCACAUCUUUAAAAUUAGGAUUUUAAAUUUUCAUAAUAAGUUGAAAAAAAAUUAAUCCAAACAGUCCUUAUAUGUUUUUACUUUUUGCAUUCCAUUUUAUUUAUUUUGAUUAAAGUAGAGUUGAUUUACAAUGUUGUGCCAAUCGAUGCUGUACAGUAAAGUGACUCAGUCUUACAUAUAUGUACCUUCUUUUUUUUUAAUGUUAUUAUCAUGGUCUAUCCAAGGAGAUUGGAUAUAGUUCCUUAUGCUAUGCAGUGGGACCUUAUUGUCUAUUCCUCAUUAUUUUUAAAUGACAAUAGCAUAAUAAUCACUGUGAUGUGAGGUGAUCUAACACAGUACAUGUUUUUCUUAGUCUUGAAUUGUGUAGUCCGAGUCCUCGCUACCCUUGAGGUGGCCGUUGUGCUUCUGGAAUCUCCUAUGUGAUGAAUCAAAAUGAUAGGAGAAAAUCACAGUCCAUAUGAAUCAAGCCCUUCACAUGCACUGUGCCCGAGGCCCUCCAAGAUGGCUUUAGAUAUGCAAAAGAUUUAUUGAGAACAUAACUGAAGGAUAAAGAAGAAACAGCAAGAGCCUUUAAAGAGCAGUGCAGGAGAUUGGGCAGGAGGAAUCUCAAUGGUAGGCAGGCAAGAUUCCAGCCAGGAUGAGGGGAGUCCUUAAGCCAAACUUGUCCACCAAGGUGUUCCCCAGCAUGGGUCUCCAUUAGUUGAGGAAAUCAACAGUUGGGACCAUCAGUUAGUUAAGCUCCCUGCAAGGGGAGAUCUGAGUGGCAUGUUUCCAUGGCAGCCACCUGCACAACCUCAAUCUCACAAUAGAUUAAAAACCAGAGAGGUUAUACAACGUCCCUAAAGUCCUACAGCUAACGAGUGACAUAGCUGGUUUUUAAUGCAAGUGGUCAGAUUUCAGAGCCUAUUAACAGGUAGGUUUGUAGGUAGCUAGCUAGCUAUGCCAGUGUAUUUAGGAAACAAAGUAAAUGUGGUAGAUAUGAAGUACAGGAUUAUCAAAUUCAAGAUGCAAGGGAUUCUGUUCCUUUCAUACAUGUCAUAAAGCAUUCUGAAUCUUUCAAAUCAGUCAUAGGAAGUCCUGAUCAUUACUUUGGGAGAGUGCCUUGUAUGUUUCAAUAUAGAUAGCUUUACCAAAUGUUGAAAAAUCUGGGAAGAAAAUAAUACUUGUCUCCUUGUGUGUGUGUGUGUGUGUGUGUGUGUGUGUGUGUGUAUUUAAAAUCAUCUGCUUGCCUAGAUGCUAAAUCAUAAUAUUUUAUUCUUCACAUAAUCUCUUGAAAUGAUGCUCUCUUUUAUCAACCAGUUUCUUUUUGAAAAUUCUUUCUAUGGCUUGAUCCUUCAAGGGUAUCAAUAAUAGCCUCAGGUUUUUGUUUUUGUUUUUGUUUUUCCUCUCUCCUUUAUUACUUGAUAUACUCCUGUUGCCUUCUUGUAUUAGGAUGUUAGGAUAAGCUAGGGCAAAAUAACAAAGAAACCCAUACAUGGACGUAGUCAGACUGACAGACAUGUUCUCUUCCAUGUGAUCACACAGGGAUCCAAGCUCUCUCCAUCUCACGGCUACUCCUAUGGGGAAGAUUCAUGGUGGUCCACAGUUGGUGAAUUUUUAAUGGAUCAGACCAAGAAGUGGCACGCACCAUUCUUGCUUACAUCUUGUUCAGGGUCCUAAUCGUGUAAACACAUCUAAUUGCAUGAAAGCUUAGGGACUUAGUCUAGCCUUAAGCCCCAAGGACACAUUAACAGUCUUUGGCUAGUGAGCUGAUAGUCUCUGCCAAGGCAUAUAGCCUGUUCUUGUGAUCUCUUCAGUACUCCAAUUUCUAUCAAUUAGGAUCACCUUCCACUUUAGCCUUUGUAGUUUUAGACAGAUUCCAAAGGCCUUUCUCCACAUAGUUGAAGCCUCCUUUCAACAUCUGGAUUGAAAAAUUGUGACUCUGACUCAAGCCACCAUGGGGCUGCCCUACUCAUCAGGGCUAGCUACUACGUUUGUUUGAUCAAGUUACUCCAGAAAAUCUUGCUUAGUCAGAAAAAUUGCUCACUCAGAAAUGCCCAAAAUAGGGGCAAAAGACUUAGCUCCCCCUUUAAUUGACCGCCUAGCUCCCCCUUUAAUUGACCGCCUUUCUUCUUGAGGAUAUUUUGUAAGGUACCAAUAUGACCACGACGUGGUCAGGAUAAGGACGGUCUCCCUAUCAUGACAGGAACACCACAAAUGUUGUAGUUGCUGUGUGAUUCAGUAGAACGAAACCCAGGUGGGAAAUUAGGGAAGAGCGGAGCUGGUUUUGGAUCUGUCACUUUGUCAUGGAAAUUUUGACAACUGAUCUCUCUUAGCUCAUGUAAAUCCCUCUCAUCUGUACAUGGGCAUCAUGUCCUCUGGUUUCACAGAAUUAGGGUGGGUGAGGUAUGUGAAUAUACUUUGAACACUAUGACUCAGGUGCCAAGGCAUGGCAAUCCUUGUUCCAUUCACAUCAGAAGAUAAGAGGUAAACCUUUGCAGAGUUCCUAAUUUUCUCAGGUCUUAUAAAAGGCAGGAUAGAGUGAUAAGAGUGAAUCAGGAGCCAUAAGUUCAAGAUUAACAAAAAAAGAAGAAGAAAAAUAGAAUAAAAGAUCACAGAUUUUGGCUCAAAGAAAAUAUGAACACAAUUGCAAAGUUAAACAGCUUGCCAGAGCUGAGAGGGUGCUACAGAUAAUCAGUGUGGUGUGGACUGAAUUAGGAGAUCCUUGGGUUGUAGUCCUUGCCUUGAAGUAACCAGCCCUGCUGGAACUGCCAAUUCCAUAGUGAAUUUCUCAGGUGUACCCCUGGCUUUCAAAAACUUAGUACGGAUUUCUUUAAAGGACCUGGACCCUUAGAAUCAUGAGGACAGGUAUGAGGCCAGCUUAUGAUUUUGUAUGAAAACCG
This 6627-nucleotide long non-coding RNA is filed under the name Sus scrofa (pig). Its description in RNAcentral is "lncRNA (ENSSSCG00050061109.1)". The record is from RNAcentral. Lineage: Eukaryota; Metazoa; Chordata; Mammalia; Artiodactyla; Suidae.